CCUACGGGAGGCAGCAGUGGGGAAUAUUGCACAAUGGGGGCAACCCUGAUGCAGCGACGCCGCGUGAGUGAAGAAGUAUUUCGGUAUGUAAAGCUCUAUCAGCAGGGAAGAAAUAGCGACCUUUGGGUCGCCAGACGGUACCUGACUACGAAGCCCCGGCUAACUACGUGCCAGCAGCCGCGGUAGUACGUAGGGGGCAAGCGUUAUCCGGAUUUACUGGGUGUAAAGGGAGCGUAGACGGCAGCACAAGUCUGAAGUGACAUGCCGGGGCUUAACCCCGGAACUGCUUUGGAAACUGUGCAGCUAGAGUGCAGGAGAGGUAGGUGGAAUUCCUAGUGUAGCGGUGAAAUGCGUAGAUAUUAGGAGGAACACCAGUGGCGAAGGCGGCUUACUGGACUGUAACUGACGUUGAGGCUCGAAAGCGUGGGGAGCAAACAGGAUUAGAUACCCGGGUAGUC
This 458-nucleotide ribosomal RNA is filed under the name uncultured bacterium. Its description in RNAcentral is "partial 16S ribosomal RNA". It matches the Rfam family "Bacterial small subunit ribosomal RNA", at positions 338 to 795 of the family's 1533-position model. The record is from RNAcentral.